AACGUAGGUGGCAAGCGUUAUCCGGAUUUACUGGGCGUAAAGCAUGUGCAGACGGGUUGGUAAGUGGUGUAUGAAAGCGUUCGGCUUAACCGAGCAAGCGUAUGCCAGACUGCCAGUCUUGAGAGUGGGAGAGGGAUGUGGAAUUCCUGGUGUAGCGGUGAAAUGCGCAGAUAUCAGGAGGAGCACCAAUUGCGAAGGCAGCUCGCUGGGACGUAACUGACGCUGAGACGCGAAAGCGUGGGGAGCAAACAGG
Molecule: ribosomal RNA, 253 nt
Filed under: uncultured bacterium
Lineage: Bacteria
Description: partial 16S ribosomal RNA
Rfam family: Bacterial small subunit ribosomal RNA
Source: RNAcentral